Molecule: ribosomal RNA, 414 nt
Filed under: Babesia bovis
Lineage: Eukaryota; Apicomplexa; Aconoidasida; Piroplasmida; Babesiidae
Description: SSU rRNA
Rfam family: Eukaryotic small subunit ribosomal RNA
Source: RNAcentral
CGGGGCUACUGCUCUGUAAUUGGCAUGGGGGCGACCUUCACCCUCGCCCGAGUACCCAUUGGAGGGCAAGUCUGGUGCCAGCAGCCGCGGUAAUUCCAGCUCCAAUAGCGUAUAUUAAACUUGUUGCAGUUAAAAAGCUCGUAGUUGAAUCUCACGUCCCCCGCAGUGUCCUUCACUCGCCGGGACGCCUCGUUACUUUGAGAAAAUUAGAGUGUUUCAAGCAGGUUUCGCCUGUAUAAUUGAGCAUGGAAUAACCUUGUAUGACCCUGUCGUACCGUUGGUUGACUUUGGGUAAUGGUUAAUAGGAACGGUUGGGGGCAUUCGUACUCGACUGUCAGAGGUGAAAUUCUUAGAUUUGUCGAUGACGCACGACUGCGAAAGCAUUUGCCAAGGACGCUUCCAUUAAUCAAGAAC